Non-coding RNA from Acanthosepion pharaonis, 100 nucleotides. The record is from the annotation of a GenBank genome assembly. Lineage: Eukaryota; Metazoa; Mollusca; Cephalopoda; Sepiida; Sepiidae.
GUUGAAGCACCGGUUUCUGUGCGAUUACUGAAGUUAAGCAACGUCGAGACUGGGCAGUACCUAGAUCGGUAGCCGCUUGCGAAUACUAGGUGAUGUAAUC